CGCUGGCGGCGUGCCUAAUACAUGCAAGUCGAACGAUGAAGCUCUAGCUUGCUAGAGUGGAUUAGUGGCGCACGGGUGAGUAAUGCAUAGAUAACAUGCCCUUUAGUCUAGGAUAGCCAUUGGAAACGAUGAUUAAUACUGGAUACUCCUUACGAGGGAAAGUUUUUCGCUAAAGGAUUGGUCUAUGUCCUAUCAGCUUGUUGGUGAGGUAAUGGCUCACCAAGGCUAUGACGGGUAUCCGGCCUGAGAGGGUGAACGGACACACUGGAACUGAGACACGGUCCAGACUCCUACGGGAGGCAGCAGUAGGGAAUAUUGCUCAAUGGGGGAAACCCUGAAGCAGCAACGCCGCGUGGAGGAUGAAGGUUUUCGGAUUGUAAACUCCUUUUGUUAGAGAAGAUAAUGACGGUAUCUAACGAAUAAGCACCGGCUAACUCCGUGCCAGCAGCCGCGGUAAUACGGAGGGUGCAAGCGUUACUCGGAAUCACUGGGCGUAAAGAGCGCGUAGGCGGGAUAGCAAGUCAGAUGUGAAAUCCUAUGGCUUAACCAUAGAACUGCAUUUGAAACUGUUAUUCUAGAGUAUGGGAGAGGUAGGUGGAAUUCUUGGUGUAGGGGUAAAAUCCGUAGAGAUCAAGAGGAAUACUCAUUGCGAAGGCGACCUGCUAGAACAUAACUGACGCUGAUGCGCGAAAGCGUGGGGAGCAAACAGGAUUAGAUACCCUGGUAGUCCACGCCCUAAACGAUGAAUGCUAGUUGUUGUGGAGCUUGUCUCUGCAGUAAUGCAGCUAACGCAUUAAGCAUUCCGCCUGGGGAGUACGGUCGCAAGAUUAAAACUCAAAGGAAUAGACGGGGACCCGCACAAGCGGUGGAGCAUGUGGUUUAAUUCGAAGAUACACGAAGAACCUUACCUAGGCUUGACAUUGAUAGAAUCCGCUAGAGAUAGUGGAGUGCUAGCUUGCUAGAACUUGAAAACAGGUGCUGCACGGCUGUCGUCAGCUCGUGUCGUGAGAUGUUGGGUUAAGUCCCGCAACGAGCGCAACCCUCGUCCUUAGUUGCUAACUAUUCGGUAGAGCACUCUAAGGAGACUGCCUUCGCAAGGAGGAGGAAGGUGAGGAUGACGUCAAGUCAUCAUGGCCCUUACGCCUAGGGCUACACACGUGCUACAAUGGGAAGCACAAAGAGAUGCAAUAUUGUGAAAUGGAGCAAAUCUAUAAAACUUCUCUCAGUUCGGAUUGUAGUCUGCAACUCGACUACAUGAAGCUGGAAUCGCUAGUAAUCGUAAAUCAGCUAUGUUACGGUGAAUACGUUCCCGGGU
RNAcentral lists this ribosomal RNA (1315 nucleotides) under uncultured bacterium. Its description in RNAcentral is "partial 16S ribosomal RNA". It matches the Rfam family "Bacterial small subunit ribosomal RNA", at positions 34 to 1379 of the family's 1533-position model. The record is from RNAcentral.